UACACCAGCCAGGCCUUAGAAUUAUUUUUAUUCUGAAAUUAUUUGUCUUGUUCCUUUAUUCAUUUAUAAUAGUUAACAGGGAUAAGAGAACCAAUAACUCUUAACUAAAAAUCAAAUAAUAAAAUGAAAGUUAUCAUUAUAAAUAUGAAGUAAUAUUUUUUCCUAUGGACAUGAUUGCCUAAAAGAAGUUGCCUAAUUCAACACAUAUUUACUUACCAUGUGCCCAGUAUAGUAGUAAUUCCAGGAGGCUAAUCAGUUAGCAAAUAUUUACUGAAUAUUUUACACAUGCCAGACAGUGCCCAUGCACUAAACAAAACACGUGUGCUUUCUCCUCACAAACUUAAAAAUCAAACAGUCAGUGAGACAUUAAAAAGGGCAGAAGCCCCCUGACUGCAGGAAUAGCUCCCAUUCUACGCUGCAGCCCCAGUGCCUAGAGCAGUGCCCAGAGCAGUGCCCGGCACCAGCCGGUGUUCCAUGCAAGUCACUGAAUGCACAAGGGAAAUAAAUCAAUGCCAGUGUGAAACAUUUGGCAGAAGACAAUGCAGUGCACCAAACAUACAAAAUACAAAUGCACACACAAAUACUCCCAAACAACAUCUCUAACUGCGGGAGCUCAGAAGUGAUCUUUAAGGUUGGAAAACAGCUUUCUCUCUCCUCUUCCUACUCACCCCUUCCUGAUGCCUUACGUUGAUUCCGUGCCCCCUUUUCCUGCACCGGAGGGGAUGGAACUGAGAGGGCGGAGGAGGGAUGUCCUCCAGGGACACUGGUUGAUGCAGAGCUUAGAAUUGAAGCCCCACCCUUGGCCGGCGCUCAUGUAUUCCAGCCCUAAAAAGUUUAUUUAGCUGAGUCUACACCACCCUGCACUGUGAAAGCUCAGCUCCUCAGUUCUGUGUGCGACACAUCGGCCUGGUACCCAAGAGAGUUCGGGGGAAUUUCUGGCCUGUUUUGAGUCUCUUGAUACACGGAGUGGUGUUUAUCCCUCAUGUUCAUCUGUUGUGUACAGUUUAAAUGGGAAAAGCAUGGCUUUACUGACCUUUGCUGAACAAAUAAAUUUACUUAAGGCUGCUUGGUGUCUUUUGGAAAAGAAUGUUCUUUCUCUUCUUCCUCUGGGGCUGUCUCAAGAGUUUUCCACUUCAAAAUUAUUACAUUCCCAGCCUCACACCUCCGCAGUCACAGAAGUCCACUAUUUUUAAAGUAGGCAAGAAAGGGAAAAAGAAGGUGAGGGUGUGGAGGGGAGACUCAGGGCUUGUGUGGCUGGUAGUUUUCUGGGCUCUACUUCGGUUUGCAAGGAAGAUUUCCAUCACUAGUCCUCAUGCUCCCUCCAUAGUAGUUAGCUCCUGUUGCCACUCAAGGUCGAGCCCUACUUCUCAAGGGAAGUCUUGUCUUUCUAGAAAGUAAGUGAGGCUCUCCUGUUUAUGGGGUUCAGCUCUCUCUGAAUUCUGUGGAGAUGUGGGGGAAGAAACAUCCAAGAAAGAUUAAUCCGUCCCCUUUCCUGUCUCUACUUUCAUCCUUAGAUAUCCUUUCAAAUGAGGUUAUUAAAUCACUUAAUCUCAAGGAGCUCAGGAGUUAGAUUUAACAACUAAAAUAAAACCACACAUGUCUAGUUAUGUGAAAAAAAUAUUGUUUGCUUAACUUUUGAUUCUUUGGAUGUGAUUCAUGGGACUUGUUUAUUUUUUACUUGUGCGGUGACCUAGCAUUUCCUUGGGGAAUAUAGAGAAUGUCCUUUCCAUGGUAGAAAAAACAUAUUGAAAGUGAAAAUUUCUUCCUUUAAAAACAAAUGUUGAUUUUCCCACUUGUCACGGAAAUCAGUUUUUCUAGCUAUGCACAAAAUCCCAGUCAUUUACAAGUGGAGAAACCUGUUUAAGGAAUGGCCAAAUUAGCAGGGGCCAAAUUCCCAAGGCUUAAGAGUCUCAGGUGAAAUCUGAUCCUGGACGGAGAAUUUUUUUUUUCUUUUUUUUUAUAUUACAGUUUUUUGUCUAUUUUUCCCAUCCCAGCG
Artibeus jamaicensis (Jamaican fruit-eating bat) is the source of this 1996-nucleotide long non-coding RNA. RefSeq lists it as uncharacterized. The record is from RefSeq and is a predicted model, not a curated record. Lineage: Eukaryota; Metazoa; Chordata; Mammalia; Chiroptera; Phyllostomidae. The transcript has 3 exons.